This 385-nucleotide long non-coding RNA is filed under the name Serinus canaria (Common canary). RNAcentral's name for it is "lncRNA (ENSSCAG00000005943.1)". Lineage: Eukaryota; Metazoa; Chordata; Aves; Passeriformes; Fringillidae. The record is from RNAcentral.
UUUUGAGUAUAAUUUGUCUGUAGUCUGUGUAAGUAGGUUUUCCCUCUUUUCCAGAUUCUUUGUGGGCAAAUAGGAGAAGGAUUUAUUCCUUUAACACAAGCAGCAUAAAAAGCAUUUGGUGGAACCCUGACAACUGAUAUCCCCGACAGUCCCAAUAUGGCCUUACUCAAACCAGAGGUUUUGGAUUCUGCUCUGAAAUUCCACAGGUGUGGAACUUGCCCUUGUCCUGUCAGUCAGAGCUUUACAAAAGCAUGGUGCUUGCACCUUACAUUUCAGCGAGACAAGCUCAGAAUGGAUCUGCUGACCAAACAUUUAUGCCCAAGUGCAGAGAAGUCAACCCUAAAAACGCAGUGUCGUGACUAUGAUACAGAACCACUAAACAUGC